Molecule: ribosomal RNA, 497 nt
Filed under: uncultured bacterium
Lineage: Bacteria
Description: partial 16S ribosomal RNA
Rfam family: Bacterial small subunit ribosomal RNA
Source: RNAcentral
GAUGAACGCUGGCGGCGUGCCUAAUACAUGCAAGUCGAGCGAACGGACGAGAAGCUUGCUUCUCUGAUGUUAGCGGCGGACGGGUGAGUAACACGUGGAUAACCUACCUAUAAGACUGGGAUAACUUCGGGAAACCGGAGCUAAUACCGGAUAAUAUUUUGAACCGCAUGGUUCAAAAGUGAAAGACGGUCUUGCUGUCACUUAUAGAUGGAUCCGCGCUGCAUUAGCUAGUUGGUAAGGUAACGGCUUACCAAGGCAACGAUGCAUAGCCGACCUGAGAGGGUGAUCGGCCACACUGGAACUGAGACACGGUCCAGACUCCUACGGGAGGCGGCAGUAGGGAAUCUUCCGCAAUGAGCGAAAGCCUGACGGAGCAACGCCGCGUGAGUGAUGAAGGUCUUCGGAUCGUAAAACUCUGUUAUUAGGGAAGAACAUAUGUGUAAGUAACUGUGCACAUCUUGACGGUACCUAAUCAGAAAGCCACGGCUAACUACGUG